This 437-nucleotide long non-coding RNA is filed under the name Pomacea canaliculata. RNAcentral's name for it is "uncharacterized LOC112556916, transcript variant X2". Lineage: Eukaryota; Metazoa; Mollusca; Gastropoda; Architaenioglossa; Ampullariidae. The record is from RNAcentral.
CCAGAAGACUGUUGGAAUCACAGACAAGAAGUCCUGCUUGCAAGUCCCUCGGUUUAUGCUCAACUGGACAGGUUAGCAUAUCGAUGAAAAGCGCAGUGUUCAGCAUCUUCUUGGAGAACGUUAUAGAAGACUCAUCCGUAAUCCACAUCAUUAAGAUAUAAACAAACGAGAUGAUCACUCCUCUUUUUUUGUUUUCCUUCACACUUGGAAUUCAUCAACAAGUGCAAGCUUGUGGUGGUGAAUAUAAUGCUUCGUACGGUUCCAUUACGUCACCAUUGUACCCGAGUCAGUACCCGCCUGAUCAGGACUGUGUUUACAUCAUCAGAGCACCAACAGGAUAUCGGAUCACCUUGACAUUUCUAAGCUUUGAGCUGGCAGCUGAUAUUAUUGACUGUAAGCAGGACUAUCUACAGAUUAGAGAUGGCGGCUCAGGGACG